Molecule: ribosomal RNA, 791 nt
Filed under: uncultured bacterium
Lineage: Bacteria
Description: bacterial SSU rRNA
Rfam family: Bacterial small subunit ribosomal RNA
Source: RNAcentral
GAACUCCGAUUGCGAAGGCAGCGUACCGGCGCCACACUGACGCUGAGGCACGAAAGCGUGGGGAUCGAACAGGAUUAGAUACCCUGGUAGUCCACGCAGUAAACGAUGAAUGCUGGUUGUCCGGGUCGAAUGAGACCUGGGCGGCGAAGCGAAAGCGAUAAGCAUUCCACCUGGGGAGUACGCCGGCAACGGUGAAACUCAAAGGAAUUGACGGGGGCCCGCACAAGCGGAGGAACAUGUGGUUUAAUUCGAUGAUACGCGAGGAACCUUACCCGGGCUCAAACGGGAGCGGAAUGGACCAGAGACGGUUCAGCCUACGGGCCGCUUCCGAGGUGCUGCAUGGUUGUCGUCAGCUCGUGCCGUGAGGUGUCGGCUUAAGUGCCAUAACGAGCGCAACCCCCGCCGGCAGUUGCUAACGGGCAAUGCCGAGGACUCUGCCGGGACUGCCGCCGCAAGGCGAGAGGAAGGCGGGGAUGACGUCAAAUCAGCACGGCCCUUACGUCCGGGGCGACACACGUGUUACAAUGGGCGGUACAGCGGGAAGCCAGGCGGCGACGCCGAGCGGAACCCGAAAGCCGUUCUCAGUUCGGAUCGGAGUCUGCAACCCGACUCCGUGAAGCUGGAUUCGCUAGUAAUCGCGCAUCAGCCAUGGCGCGGUGAAUACGUUCCCGGGCCUUGUACACACCGCCCGUCAAGCCAUGGGAGCCGGGGGUGCUUGAAGUGCGUCGCCGCGAGGCGCGCCCUAGAGCAAAACCGGUGACUGGGGCUAAGUCGUAACAAGGUAACCGUAA